UACGGAGGAUGCGAGCGUUAUCCGGAUUUAUUGGGUUUAAAGGGUGCGUAGGCGGACUGUCAAGUCAGCGGUAAAAUUGAGAGGCUCAACCUCUUCCCGCCGUUGAAACUGGUGGUCUUGAGUGGAUGAGAAGUACGCGGAAUGCGUGGUGUAGCGGUGAAAUGCAUAGAUAUCACGCAGAACUCCGAUUGCGAAGGCAGCGUACCGGCGCCAGACUGACGCUGAGGCACGAAAGCGUGGGGAUCGAACAGG
This 252-nucleotide ribosomal RNA is filed under the name uncultured bacterium. RNAcentral describes it as "partial 16S ribosomal RNA". It matches the Rfam family "Bacterial small subunit ribosomal RNA", at positions 524 to 776 of the family's 1533-position model. The record is from RNAcentral.